Molecule: long non-coding RNA, 654 nt
Filed under: Homo sapiens (human)
Lineage: Eukaryota; Metazoa; Chordata; Mammalia; Primates; Hominidae
Description: non-protein coding lnc-TMEM132B-4:9
Source: RNAcentral
UGAUCCUUGGACGCCCACAGUACAUCACCUUCAUGAGCGCAUCAGUGAACACCAGUCUAAGGAAGACAUCUCUGAACGUAAUUUUGGAGAUUUUGAUGAGUUCCAUUGAAACAAGGAGGAAUGUGAUGUCCAGUAUCAGUUCUGCAGACCCAAGGACAAAGAAAAUUCUGUGAUAAACUCAUCCAGUGUGACUGUAAUGAUACAAGACACCGGACUUUCAAAUCAACAAUUGUUUCAAAAGACUCCUACUGGAUUCCUGCUAGUGAUGGGAGAAAAUUAUCAUUCUGUGAGUUGUCAAUAAAUGUUUAACCACAGUUCACCUUUUUUGGAUUUUAAGAUGUCUGCGCCACUAGGACGCUCAGAAAAAUUACCCUCCAAAUGCUACUUGGAGGAGGAUUCAGUACCACCCUGAGAAGGCAACCAGCUACAACCUUGGUUGUAGUUUCGGUUGCAGAAAGAGCGUGAAGUGUGCAACUCAUGUCUGUCUUCAUUUUAAUAGGCUAGUUAAUCUGUAGCCAGAGAUGAUUAAGGAGGUCAUUAAAGGAAAACAAGCUGCCCACCAUGCUGAUGCCUGGUUGUUCAGAUCGUUGAGGUGGUGUAGAGAUGACGCACACUGGCUCAGUUUACCCACAUUUGGAUCUACGGACCUGCAAG